UGCGUUUAUGCAGUUUUGUGCACGGUGCACGGUCAAUGAACACGUUGUAUUUUAUUAUAAUGAACGAAUCAUCCAAUAUCAACGUUUCAAUACAGUCAUUCAACCACGCUAUUUAAAUAUUAAUAAACCUAAAACAAAGGAUGUGCACGGUACGGCUCAACAUAAAAUCCCGGCUCAUUAUAACUUUGCUUUAAAAUUUACUGAGUUUCCAGACCAUGUCUCGAAAGACUAUGAUCUACAUUGAAUUUGCACUAGACGUGUUUGAAGCCGAUUAAUAAACUCGCAGGUCGUGUUUUAGUAGGUCUAAACCUAAUAAAACACUCCUGCUCGUUUAUUAAACCGUACUAAAUACAUAUAUAUAGAUGGGGUUUUUCUAGAUGGAGUUUUCGAAUGAAAAUAAUUAUAUAUACAAUUUUAGGCCCUUCGGCAGGAAUCGAACUUGCGGUCCUUGCGAUUGCGGUGUAUUUUUAGCAGCUGCUCCCGCGGUUAGGUCUAAAUUGUAUACAAAUUUUCGUUUAAAAAUUCCAUCUACAUUCAGUUAUAUCGCACGAGAUACCC
This is a non-coding RNA of Paramuricea clavata, 558 nucleotides long. The record is from the annotation of a GenBank genome assembly. Lineage: Eukaryota; Metazoa; Cnidaria; Anthozoa; Malacalcyonacea; Plexauridae.